This 709-nucleotide long non-coding RNA is filed under the name Bos indicus x Bos taurus (hybrid cattle). Its description in RNAcentral is "lncRNA (ENSBIXG00000029544.1)". The record is from RNAcentral. Lineage: Eukaryota; Metazoa; Chordata; Mammalia; Artiodactyla; Bovidae.
CACCUGGGCCAACCGUGAACUCUGUCCCAGUUGAUCCAGGCGCCGGGAAGAGGAGUUGCAGCGGCCACCCCUCUGGCCUCUUUCUGCCCAAGCUGGGUCCCCAAUCCCAGUUCAGCAAACCCUGAGGCUCACCCCUGCGCUGAUGGAUGGCUGAGUGUGGACUACCUGCAGCGGCUCUCCCAGCUUUCCAAAAGCACGAGACACACUAUGGGGUCCCCAGCCACAGCCGGUGAAAACGGCAGAGCUGCCCCCAGACCACAAUUACCUGCUGGUCACUCACCCGCAUGUGCUUCGGACACUUUUGUAACUUCGCGACUGAGAGCACUGGCUUCUCCCAGCAGUUCCCCAGGCUUCGGCCCUAGACCACCGGUCUGAACGACCUCUUCUACCUUUCAGUGUAUCGAGACUACUUUUUGUCCUAUGUCCACAGGAGUAUGUUCUCUGAACCACCAGAGCCUGGAUUUUAUUCUGCCCACUCCCAGCUCAGCCAAGCUGUGGUCAUCGUGAUCAGGAGAGCCCACGAGGCCCUGCAUGCCAUCCCAGGGGAGCACUGACUCACUCUCCGGAAUCGUAAAGGCUUCAUCCGCCUGGCACUGAGGCACAGGUAAGCAGGGGCCCAGCCAGGAAUGCAUUCAGUGGUCAGAACCUCACAGUGUGUCUGGGGAUCCACAUUCUAUCCCUACACACCGGUCCCCUGGAGGUGGGCUGU